UAUUUCCAUAAAGAAGGUAAUUUCUUAUGUUACAUUAGGGUUUUAUUUAUUAGGGUUUUACUUGUUAGGGUUUAGCUUAGAUUCAUUUCGUAAUCCAUAAUUCUUUUCUCUCAAAAAGAAACAAUAAAGAUUGACUUAACAUCAAAUGUUACUAGUGAUUUUCCGUAAAAAGUGAUCCAAAAAAUAUAUAUUUUUGUAGUGU
RNAcentral lists this long non-coding RNA (202 nucleotides) under Elaeis guineensis (African oil palm). RNAcentral's name for it is "long non-coding RNA (EGUI_LNC035179)". The record is from RNAcentral. Lineage: Eukaryota; Viridiplantae; Streptophyta; Magnoliopsida; Arecales; Arecaceae.